RNAcentral lists this unclassified non-coding RNA (393 nucleotides) under uncultured bacterium. RNAcentral's name for it is "contains 16S-23S intergenic spacer region". The record is from RNAcentral.
UCCAGCUCGUCGCUGGCAGUCCCGAUAGAGUGCUCAGCAGGCCUUGCGGCCCCUGGUGGCAACUAUCAGCAAUGGUUGCGCUCGUUGUGGCACUUAAGCCAACACCUCACGGCACGAGCUGACGACAGCCAUGCAGCACCUGUGCAAGAUCUCGACUGGUUACGAGUCGUUGCCCUUUCAGAUUCCUACUUCAAGCAUGUCAAGCCUGGGUAAGGUUCUUCGCGUAGCAUCGAAUUGAACCACAUGUUCCACCGCUUGUGCUGGCCCCCGUCAGUUCCUUUGAGUUUCAACCUUGCGGCCGUACUCCUCAGGUGGGACACUUAGCGCGUUUGCUGCGGCACUGACACCUAACGGUGCCAACACCUAGUGUCCAUCGUUUACAGCUAGGACUAC